Molecule: transfer RNA, 82 nt
Filed under: Bacilli bacterium
Lineage: Bacteria; Bacillati; Bacillota; Bacilli
Also listed under: 2 other names
Description: tRNA-Leu
Rfam family: tRNA
About the family: Transfer RNA (tRNA) molecules are approximately 80 nucleotides in length. Their secondary structure includes four short double-helical elements and three loops (D, anti-codon, and T loops). Further hydrogen bonds mediate the characteristic L-shaped molecular structure. tRNAs have two regions of fundamental functional importance: the anti-codon, which is responsible for specific mRNA codon recognition, and the 3' end, to which the tRNAs corresponding amino acid is attached (by aminoacyl-tRNA synthetases). tRNAs cope with the degeneracy of the genetic code in two manners: having more than one tRNA (with a specific anti-codon) for a particular amino acid; and 'wobble' base-pairing, i.e. permitting non-standard base-pairing at the 3rd anti-codon position.
Source: RNAcentral
GCGGGCGUGGCGGAAUGGCAGACGCGAUAGACUUAGGAUCUAUUGGGUGACCGUGCAGGUUCAAGUCCUGUCGCCCGCACCA